Molecule: ribosomal RNA, 106 nt
Organism: Mycoplasma sp. CAG:776
Lineage: Bacteria; Bacillati; Mycoplasmatota; Mollicutes; Mycoplasmatales; Mycoplasmataceae
Source: Rfam
ACCAGUAACGAUAGCCUAGUGGAUACACCUCUUCCCAUCCCGAACAGAGAAGUUAAGCACUAGAACGCCGACGAUAGUGAUAAGCGAAAAUAGGAAGUUGCUGGUU